AGAUUCUAGGUUGGUGCAAAAUUAAUUGUGGUUUUUGCCGUUAAAACUAAUGGCAAAAACCACAAUUAAUUUUGCAACAAACUAAUAUA
Molecule: microRNA precursor, 89 nt
Filed under: Chlorocebus sabaeus (green monkey)
Lineage: Eukaryota; Metazoa; Chordata; Mammalia; Primates; Cercopithecidae
Description: miRNA (ENSCSAG00000019956.1)
Source: RNAcentral